AAUGAACGCUGGCGGCGUGCCUAACACAUGCAAGUCGAGCGCGAACGUGGUCUUCGGACCAUUAUUAGAGCGGCGGACGGGUGAGUAACACGUGGAUAAUCUGCCUAAGAGUGGGGGACAACUUCGGGAAACUGGAGCUAAUACCGCAUACGUUCCUCCCCUUGCGAGGGGAUGAAGAAAGGCUUCGGCCGCUUUUAGAGGAGUCCGCGUCUGAUUAGCUAGUUGGUGGGGUAACGGCCUACCAAGGCGACGAUCAGUAGCCGGCCUGAGAGGGUGAUCGGCCACACUGGAACUGAGACACGGUCCAGACUCCUACGGGAGGCAGCAGUGAGGAAUAUUGGACAAUGGGCGAAAGCCUGAUCCAGCAACGCCGCGUGGAGGAUGAAGGUCUUCGGAUUGUAAACUCCUGUCAGGUGGGACGAAAACAAUGACGGUACCACCAGAGGAAGCCCCGGCUAACUCCG
Molecule: ribosomal RNA, 464 nt
Filed under: uncultured bacterium
Lineage: Bacteria
Description: bacterial SSU rRNA
Rfam family: Bacterial small subunit ribosomal RNA
Source: RNAcentral